ACUUAGCCCCGAUAGCAGCGGUUACCCCGGAACAUGGGUGGAAGAGCCGGAGGGUAAGAGGGUGGGGUAAUUUGGCGUGAGGAGUAUGAGCGGAUAGCGGGAAAAAGC
RNAcentral lists this small RNA (108 nucleotides) under Chryseobacterium sp. AG844. RNAcentral describes it as "Flavo-1 RNA". The record is from RNAcentral. Lineage: Bacteria; Pseudomonadati; Bacteroidota; Flavobacteriia; Flavobacteriales; Weeksellaceae.